This 67-nucleotide ribosomal RNA is filed under the name Colletotrichum plurivorum. Its description in RNAcentral is "partial 18S ribosomal RNA". It matches the Rfam family "Eukaryotic small subunit ribosomal RNA", at positions 1769 to 1831 of the family's 1831-position model. The record is from RNAcentral. Lineage: Eukaryota; Fungi; Ascomycota; Sordariomycetes; Glomerellales; Glomerellaceae.
UCAUUUAGAGGAAGUAAAAGUCGUAACAAGGUCUCCGUUGGUGAACCAGCGGAGGGAUCAUUAUCGA